UUUUUUUUUUCCCUUAAGAAAGGAAAGAGAAAGUCCAACCACUACGGCAAUACUUUUAAGCUCUACUAAAUGAUCGUAUCCUUUCUGGCUUCGAAACUUUUGUACCUAAAAAUCGAGAGAGGCGCUGCAUUUUUUCAGUUGAAACUGUCAAAACUUGGAGAAGGGGGACCUCGGAGGCAGGCAGGAGAGGAGGAGAAUCCUGAAAACUCGGUGGAGGUUGGGAAGAUGCUGUGCCUCGAGGAUUAGUUUAAACAGGGGGCUAUAAAAGAUGUAACAGAUGCAAACUGUAACACAAGGGCCAUUAACCCUUUCUCUGCCGGGCACACUCAGUCCCCACGCCCCACACCUAUUGUCUCCUGUGCUAGAAGCUUUGCAGAAAACCUGGAAAGAGAGAGACGAGAGACCCUGAAACACGCGCCACCUAUCUUUGUGGGGAGGGAUAAUUGAAGCGCCCUGAGCGUGAGCAUCAUGUGAAAACGUGAUCGCCAAGUUUCUCUCUGGGAAAGGAUCUGGGAUAGAUUAUACCUUGAAGUCUCCGCAAACGCUUUAGUGGAAGAAAUGAAAUUCCACCUCCCUCCCUUCCUCCUCUCCCUCCCUUUCGCCUUCGCCUCCCUCCCCCCUCCCUCCCUUCUCCCCCCCUCCACCCCCCCC
This 651-nucleotide long non-coding RNA is filed under the name Homo sapiens (human). Its description in RNAcentral is "ZEB2 antisense RNA 1". The stretch from base 260 to 387 matches the Rfam family "ZEB2 antisense RNA 1 conserved region 1". Lineage: Eukaryota; Metazoa; Chordata; Mammalia; Primates; Hominidae. The record is from RNAcentral.